AGGGCUUUAGCUCAGUGGUAGAGCGCUUGCCUAGCAAGCACAAGGCCCUG
RNAcentral lists this transfer RNA (50 nucleotides) under Neotoma lepida (desert woodrat). The record is from Rfam by way of RNAcentral. Lineage: Eukaryota; Metazoa; Chordata; Mammalia; Rodentia; Cricetidae.